RNA transcript from Bombus pyrosoma, 1736 nucleotides. It is a transcript of the gene named methyltransferase-like protein 25, with no coding region annotated. NCBI's taxonomy places the organism in Eukaryota, Metazoa, Arthropoda, Insecta, Hymenoptera, Apidae. The transcript is spliced from 5 exons. The record is from RefSeq and is a predicted model, not a curated record.
GAUAAACUCAAUUUUUAAUUGUAUGAGAAUAUUAUAUUUAAAUAGAUAAGGAGUGGAACAAUAUUGUAGAAUUGUAUCUGGAUUUCAUAAUAUUUUUCAUUUUUAAAAAUUAUAAUAAACAUUGUUAUUUGCACAAAUAUUAAAGUCAUGUAUGAUAAACAUUUUGAUGAAAUUAUAUAUUUCAUUAACACAUAUCAUAAGUUGGUAAAUUGUCAUAUAGUUGAUUUUAUUACUGAAAACUUAUGGACAACAUGUUUACCAGAAGCCUUAAGGUCAGAAUUAGAGAAGAAUGAACUCAGUUGGGUUGAUUGGACAGAAAAUGAUGAUUAUCCUACACUGAAUAAUUUUAUAAAGUUGGCGAAAUCUUUAUCUUUGCAAUCAUGCUCUAUAGAAACAAAUUCAAAAGAUUUUUUAAACACAUUACCAGAUAUAAAUAAUCAGAAGAAAUGUAUGUGUGAAAAUAUUAAGAUGGAAUUUAUAAAUACAAAGAAGUUACACGAGGUUGAAUCCCUUGGAAACAUUAUUGGGGAAGUUGCUGCGAGAACAAAUAAUCUAGUAAUAGAUGCUGGUGCUGGGAAAGCAUAUCUGUCAACAUUUUUAGCAGAAAAUCAUAAAGUUCCUGUUCUUGCAAUAGAUUCUUCGCAAUUAUGUAGUAAUGGAGCAAUCUGUAGACAAAAAAAAUUACGGAAGAAGUUGAUACUCUCUCCAAUGCUGGUACGCUAUGUAGUUGAAGAGAUUAAUGACAGAACCGAUUAUAUAAAAAUGAUAAAAGAAAAUUUUUCCGAUUGGGAUAUAAAUAAAAACAUUAUAUUAACUGGUUUACAUACUUGUGGUUCGCUCACUGACUCAAUUAUUCGAACAUUCUUAGCUACAAAAGACAUUAAUAUUUUAUGUAUAGUGCCCUGUUGUUACCAUUUGACAAAUGAAACACUUAAUAAAAAAAUUAAUUUUUCUAGAAAUGCUAGAAUGCUAGCCCAACAAUCUGUUGAAAGAAGUACAAAAAACAAAUCUGUACCUUCAUCAUUGUUCUACAGAGCAAUAUUACAAGUCAUUCUUCAUUCCUUGGGUAUUUAUAAUGCUAGAGUAGGUCGCGGCGGACCAUCACACGAUUUUCCAAGUUAUGCUCAAUGGGCAUUUUCAAGAAUUGGGGUAGAUUUGGAUAAGAUACCAUCACGAGAAGCACUGACAAGAACGUUUCAAGUUUAUGCACAUUUAAUGGAGAAAUUUUACAUAUUUCAAAUGUUAAGGAUACAUGUUGGUCUUGUAUUAGAAGCAGCCAUUAUGUUGGAUAGGAUAAUAUUUUUACAGAACAGUAAUCAGUGUUCUAAAAUUGCGAUACUGCGUUUAUUUGAUCCUAUGUUAUCUCCAAGACGUUAUGGCAUUAUUGCAGUAAAAUAGCGACAGGAAAGAAUGUUAUAAACAAAGAAGUAUACGACGUGAAUACAGAAAACAAUUUUAUUAUAUUUGUUGUGAAGUUUUCUCAUACAUAGUACGAUCAAUAAAAAAAUAUUACAUUCCUCGAUUGAAGGUAAUCCAUAACAGACGAAAAUCCUUCUUCUUUUACAAUAGGGGCUAAAAUUCCAGUUGGGGGUAAACCACUUCUUGUUCUACAUAUACUGCAGUUACAUAAACCACGGCAAGGUGGACAAACCCAAUUCUGCAAAAUUUUUGCACCAAAAUAAAUAAUUAUGAAACAAAAAUGAAAAAUAAAUAUUUAUAUGUAUUAAUAUAUGGCA